RNAcentral lists this ribosomal RNA (496 nucleotides) under uncultured bacterium. Its description in RNAcentral is "partial 16S ribosomal RNA". It matches the Rfam family "Bacterial small subunit ribosomal RNA", at positions 28 to 507 of the family's 1533-position model. The record is from RNAcentral.
GAUGAACGCUGGCGGCGUGCCUAAUACAUGCAAGUCGAGCGAACAGACGAGGAGCUUGCUCCUCUGACGUUAGCGGCGGACGGGUGAGUAACACGUGGAUAACCUACCUAUAAGACUGGGAUAACUUCGGGAAACCGGAGCUAAUACCGGAUAACAUGUUGAACCGCAUGGUUCAACAGUGAAAGACGGUCUUGCUGUCACUUAUAGAUGGAUCCGCGCCGCAUAGCUAGUUGGUAAGGUAACGGCUUACCAAGGCAACGAUGCGUAGCCGACCUGAGAGGGUGAUCGGCCACACUGGAACUGAGACACGGUCCAGACUCCUACGGGAGGCAGCAGUAGGGAAUCUUCCGCAAUGGGCGAAAGCCUGACGGAGCAACGCCGCGUGAGUGAAGAAGGUCUUCGGAUCGUAAAACUCUGUUAUUAGGGAAGAACAAAUGUGUAAGUAACUAUGCACGUCUUGACGGUACCUAAUCAGAAAGCCACGGCUAACUACGUG